This 532-nucleotide long non-coding RNA is filed under the name Homo sapiens (human). RNAcentral's name for it is "HSALNT0009269". The record is from RNAcentral. Lineage: Eukaryota; Metazoa; Chordata; Mammalia; Primates; Hominidae.
GAGAAGUUGAGGCAGGAGGAUCACUUGAGGCCAGGAGUUCAAGUCCAGUCCGGGCAUAAUAAUUCAAGCAAAAAGAGAGGAACAGGAGAAGGAGGAAGAGAAAGAGAGGAUGAGGGAAAGGAAAGAGGAUGUAAAGAAGGAAGAGCAGAAGAGAAAGAAGUAAAAAUGAUUUGAAAUGUGGUGCGUGAAUCAGUUUGACAGGUAAACUCCCAUUUGAAGUUUAUAUAUUUGUAAUCUCAUGAUUAGAAAUGCACAGAAAUGUCUUUCCUGAGAAAUAAAAUUGAAAGUGUUUUCUUCUCAGAAACAUUUACAACUACAAACUAACUUACUAUUACAAACUAAUACAACAAGCCAAAGAAAAAAGAUCAGGCCAACAGACAACCCUAUAUAACUCCUUGGAAUAAUGUUUGCUAAUUUUAUUUAAGCUAAGAAAGUAAUUUCUUUGCACAAAAUAUCCUCUCUACCUUCCCGCAGUUUUUUUCCUCUGACGGAUAGGACAAUGUUCCAAAAUAAAUUUUCUUUUCUGGUACAG